UGAAAAAUCGAAAGAAAACAAACAUGCAGGACGCUUCCUUUUUGCUGCUUUCCGUUCCGUUGGAGGAUUCUGCUAGGGGAUUUAUUGGAUUUAGGAUCGAUCAAUGACCGCUUUUCCGUGUAUUGAAGAUUUAAGCUUACUGAAAACUGCAGCCUGCCUUAGUAUGCAUCUCAUUGAUAUAUGGUUAUAAACAGCAGGUUCCAGAAUUCGUCCAUAAUGUCUUCACAGGCACUCAGCAGAAGCAGAACAUCUUCAUUGGAAUUGACCGAAUUUUAGCAGCUCAUCCUGCAUCCCCUUGCCAGUUAUCGAGUCGGGCUUCCGGGACAACAGAAAGCUAAUGGAAAAACAACCGAUAUUCAUAGUCAUAAACCAGGUGUUAACCUAUGAAACUUUUUACCACGCAGAAAAUAGGAAAGAGCAAGUGGAAAUAUACGACAGCAUGCCAACCGCAACGCAUUCCCGAUGUUUGAUAUCUGCGCCAAAGAUUACAGUAUAAUAGCGCAUAAUAGUGAAAUCAUUUCGACGUUAGCGCUUGAAGAUUUUAUAUAGUAGAUAUGAGGAGUGAACCGCCGACAUUGUCUCAAGAGGUCCGUGAUAUUCCGAUCAGGAUUCAACAUACAAGCAGAAAAUAAGAAAUAACCAUUUUAUUGUUCCGACUGGGAUUAUCCAUAACCAAACCCGCCAUAAGAAAUUUUAAAAUAAUAAUAAAAUAAAUAGUAAAAAAAAUAAUUAUAUUGUAUUUCUAUUGUAAUAUUGCAGAGAUUUUUAUUCUAAAUCCUAUUGUACUUCCAUGGUAAAACAAUAAAAAAGGAAAU
Molecule: long non-coding RNA, 815 nt
Organism: Armigeres subalbatus
Lineage: Eukaryota; Metazoa; Arthropoda; Insecta; Diptera; Culicidae
Exons: 4
Source: RefSeq, a predicted model, not a curated record